CCUAGGGAGGCAGCAGUGGGGAAUAUUGCACAAUGGGCGCAAGCCUGAUGCAGCCAUGCCGCGUGUGUGAAGAAGGCCUUCGGGUUGUAAAGCACUUUCAGCGGGGAGGAAGGCAUUAAGGUUAAUAACCUUAGUGAUUGACGUUACCCGCAGAAGAAGCACCGGCUAACUCCGUGCCAGCAGCCGCGGUAAU
RNAcentral lists this ribosomal RNA (193 nucleotides) under uncultured bacterium. RNAcentral describes it as "partial 16S ribosomal RNA". It matches the Rfam family "Bacterial small subunit ribosomal RNA", at positions 338 to 524 of the family's 1533-position model. The record is from RNAcentral.